This 598-nucleotide ribosomal RNA is filed under the name uncultured beta proteobacterium. RNAcentral describes it as "bacterial SSU rRNA". It matches the Rfam family "Bacterial small subunit ribosomal RNA", at positions 11 to 603 of the family's 1533-position model. Lineage: Bacteria; Pseudomonadati; Pseudomonadota; Betaproteobacteria. The record is from RNAcentral.
GUUUGAUCAUGGCUCAGAUUGAACGCUGGCGGAAUGCUUUACACAUGCAAGUCGAACGGCAGCACGGGUGCUUGCACCUGGUGGCGAGUGGCGAACGGGUGAGUAAUAUAUCGGAACGUAUCCAAUAAUGGGGGAUAACGAGUCGAAAGAUUCGCUAAUACCGCAUACGCCCUGAGGGGGAAAGCAGGGGAUCUUCGGACCUUGCGUUAAUGGAGCGGCUGAUAUCUGAUUAGCUAGUUGGUGGGGUAAAGGCCCACCAAGGCUUCGAUCAGUAGCUGGUCUGAGAGGACGACCAGCCACACUGGAACUGAGACACGGUCCAGACUCCUACGGGAGGCAGCAGUGGGGAAUUUUGGACAAUGGGCGCAAGCCUGAUCCAGCCAUUCCGCGUGAGUGAAGAAGGCCUUCGGGUUGUAAAGCUCUUUCGCAAGGGAAGAAACGUUACGAGCGAAUACCUCGUGAUAAUGACGGUACCUUGAUAAGAAGCACCGGCUAACUACGUGCCAGCAGCCGCGGUAAUACGUAGGGUGCGAGCGUUAUCGGAAUUACUGGGCGUAAAGCGUGCGCAGGCGGUUUUGUAAGUCAGAUGUGAAAUCCC